GUCCAGCCGUCACCCCGUCACGUCCUUUCGAAUUUUUUUCUCCCGUGCACCUCUCUCUAUCUCGUGGGCUCGUGGCCUUCCUUUCCUGGCGGCGACGACUGGUCGAGCAGCGCCGCCUCUCGCCAGGUCUCGUCGGGCCCUUCUCCGGCGACGAGCAUCCACCAGCCUGAGUUUGCUGACACUAUGGACGAAUCACGAAAAAGAGAUGUUCCUACUGCAAGUGCUGAAAAUAUAAGUUCACCCCUUGAUGAAGAUUUUGGAAAUGAUUUUCUUUCAUCUUGGAAGCUACCAAAAUCAGGAAAAGACACAAUUGACUUCACUGUUGACUCAGUUCCAAAGAGUAGCAAGAGAUUCAGCUUUGGCAACCUAGAUGAUUUCGGACUUGAUGGAGCCUUUGACAAAUUACCAUCAUUUAAAAUGGGCAUGUCUGAUCUGGAUUUCUCUAGUCCUCUCAAGAAAAAAGUGAAGCACAGCAGUUCAAAUGGUGAUGAUCUUUCUGACGGGAAAAAGGAAAGUGAAAAGAACAAUUUCUCCUUCUCCUUUGAUUUCAACGAGCUGGGAAAGUUUUGUCUUGAUGCAAAGCUAGGAAUUGAGGAAAAAAGUAUGAGUAAAUUUACUGGUAAAGUUGAUCCUGUCUCCUCAGAGGGUAACAAGGAUGCGCAAAGAGGUCUUUCGGCUAAGGCCAGUGGUAUUCUUGAAGAUAACAAUAGUAAGGACAAACCACAAACACAGGGUGUUUGCACUUUAAGACCUUCUCAUCCGACAAAUCGUGAGAGUGUAAAGAAUGCCAGACUACCGGCUUCAAAUAUUAAUGCUGCUGAUUCAUCUGACAAGAUCCAAGAACAUACCAGUGUUAGUCCUGCAAUAAUGAAACAAACUAAAGUAGACUCAGUGCCCAAUGGCAAUCAUAGAGAGCAUCCUAAAGAGAUAUACCCAACAAAAGCAGCUGUUAACAUACCUUCUCAGAAUUUCUCAGGCAGUGCUCCGUCUGGUGAAGAUCCAACACAAGUGCUAGCAGAUCCUAUGAGCACUAAAGGUGCUACUAUAGCGGACAUUGGUAAAGUUCACAUAUCAAGGGAGAGUAAUGACAAAGAGCAGUCGAUUGGUUCACAAUCCAAGGACACCAGCACCAUUAAUCCCAAUGUCUCAGGAAGACUGGUGGGUCAAUUUGAUUCCCGGAAUGAGGUUGUGGAGGAAAGUGUCUCUCUUAAUGAAGGAAGUCAAGGUAACCGAAGUUUCAGCGACGUUCAUAAGAAGCUUUUGAAGAAGACAUCAUGUGGGACAAAGGAUACUGAUGAAGGGACUUCAGGUCAUAAGAGUCUCUCCUCUUCGAUGCAGAGGGGAAUCACAAAUGUUGAAUCUGCACUGGCAAAUGAGAGAGGAAGUUUUUCUAUUUUAUCCAAGUCUACAAAUAUGAAAGCAAGCAGGGUCGAACUAACUUCAGAAACAGCCUUAAAUCAACUAUCUGGUGCAAGUAAAGUGAUAAAAAAGAUGACAUUACAUCCUACAGAUUUGAAAAGGGAGCACAAGCAAGCUAAUGCAGGACCUGACAAAUGUAAAAAUGCUUUGUCAAAAACAUACAGCAAGCAAGCAUCACAUGGGCUAUUAACCACCUCCAUUAACAGCAAAGGUGACAGAAAUGCCAAAUCUGGACUUGAGCCUCCUAGCUCAGGGAACUUAUCUCUGCUGAAUGCUCGAAACAGCACAGCACAUACCACUGGUCAUAAAACUGUUGCAAAUCAUGUGCUUCUAAAAAGUAGUAAUGCUUCUGAUUCAUUACAUGUUACGCAUUCCAAAGAUAAUAAAAUGCCAACAAUUUCUCAACUGACAGGGGUGAGAAUUGCAAAAUUAGGAAUCAGGAGUCCAAUGUCUGACAGGGUUCCUGAGAAGGAAUCAGUACAACUGACUGGGACCAAGGGUUCCCCUUUAACAACAUCCCAAACCCUUAACUCUGUUCCUGAAGGAAAACCUGCAUUGCGUAGCCCAGCCAUAAUGCAAAAGGUUCCUGAGGAAUCAUUUCUAGAUCCAAAAGCUCCUACAGUGCUCAAACACAUCAUGAGGUCUCCAGCUGUAAGAAAAUCACCUCAAACUGUUCCAGAGUUGGGAAAUGAAAUGAUUCUGGGAAGUGGAACUCCAAAAGCUCAUGUGGAUAUUGCGAUCUCUUCACGUAUGCCAUCUGAGAUGGGAGACAUUUCAGAUCUGGAGUUGCCUAUGCUGUUAGAAAAUGAUGGAAACUUAGAAAAAGCUGAGGCUUGUAGAAAGGAGCUUGAAGAUAUAUGCAUUUUAUUGAAAAGGAAACAUGCAGAAGCUAAAGAGCUAGCAGUUCGGGCUAUUGUUAACAACAAUACCAUGCUGAUGUUAAACCACCCAAUGUUUGAGGAGAAAAUUUGCUCGAUUAAGAAAUUUGCGAACGGCCUGAGAUCCAAGAAGUACUUAUUUGAGGAAGUUGGCAGCAUUAACGCCAACCUCUUAUGUGCCACGUCUACAGCUACGAGUAAAGCUAUCAUCUCGCUGAUUGGUAGUGCCGUGUAUUCAUGGAGACCAAAAGCGUGCUAUUUGUCUGUGCACCAACGAGCAUUCAGUGCUUCUGGUUGAAGCUCCAAAAUGAGUCUAGGUUUUGGAAAAUUCAAGUCAUGCACUACCCAUUGAUGCGGGACAGGUGUGGGGAAAAAAUUGCCUCGUCCUGUUGGAGCACGGGUAAUCUCCAUCUGGUAGACUGGCUCUUUGCAGGUGCUACUGCACGAGUGAUCGGGCUGCACCGUCUCUAGCUCUCUGCAGCUCGCGGCGUCUCGGGUGCCAGAGCCUCCGAAGCAAGAAUCCAUGGCACGUAUGGGUACGGGCCACCUUCUCUGCAUCGCCUUGCUGCUCUCCGUCGUCGUGUGCUCGGAACCCGCGCGGGUCUUGAGAGAACGGCCGGAGAAGAUGCCGGCCGGCGGUCGGGGCGACGUCGCCGGAGUCAGUUUCUCCGUCCAGUUUUCCAAGGGGCAGCGCGCCGCCGUGGUUGGCUCGGCGGCGCCCGAGUCCAAGCGCCUAAGCCCUGGAGGACCGGACCCCCAGCAUCACUAGGUGACGAUGGUCAUCGUGGUGAGCUCGUGCGCUGCGCGCGCGCGAGCUGCAACCGGAAGAUUGACAAGAGCUUAUGGUCCACUUGGUUGUCGUUCGUCGUUCCUGCAUGUUUAGUUUUUCUUUUCUUAAUGUUUCUUUGUUGGGGUCAAAUCUCAACUAUACCACGUUUUGUACCAAGACCACAAUAAUGUUGGGCCAUAGUCGUUCGGA
RNA transcript from Panicum hallii, 3276 nucleotides. RefSeq lists it as uncharacterized. The record is from RefSeq and is a predicted model, not a curated record. The transcript is spliced from 17 exons. Lineage: Eukaryota; Viridiplantae; Streptophyta; Magnoliopsida; Poales; Poaceae.